GACGAACGCUGGCGGCGUGCUUAACACAUGCAAGUCGAACGGUAAGGCCCUGCUUUUGUGGGGUGCUCGAGUGGCGAACGGGUGAGUAACACGUGAGUAACCUGCCCUUGACUUUGGGAUAACUUCAGGAAACUGGGGCUAAUACCGGAUAGGAGCUCCUGCUGCAUGGUGGGGGUUGGAAAGUUUCGGCGGUUGGGGAUGGACUCGCGGCUUAUCAGCUUGUUGGUGGGGUAGUGGCUUACCAAGGCUUUGACGGGUAGCCGGCCUGAGAGGGUGACCGGCCACAUUGGGACUGAGAUACGGCCCAGACUCCUACGGGAGGCAGCAGUGGGGAAUAGUGCACAAUGGGCGGAAGCCUGAUGCAGCAACGCCGCGUGCGGGAUGACGGCCUUCGGGUUGUAAACCGCUUUCGCCUGUGACGAAGCGUGAGUGACGGUAAUGGGUAAAGAAGCACCGGCUAACUACGUG
This 468-nucleotide ribosomal RNA is filed under the name uncultured bacterium. RNAcentral describes it as "partial 16S ribosomal RNA". It matches the Rfam family "Bacterial small subunit ribosomal RNA", at positions 28 to 507 of the family's 1533-position model. The record is from RNAcentral.